This 350-nucleotide unclassified non-coding RNA is filed under the name soil metagenome. Its description in RNAcentral is "partial contains 5.8S ribosomal RNA, internal transcribed spacer 2, and large subunit ribosomal RNA". The stretch from base 1 to 120 matches the Rfam family "5.8S ribosomal RNA", at positions 35 to 154 of the family's 154-position model. The record is from RNAcentral.
GAUGAAGAACGUAGCGAAAUGCGAUAAGUAGUGUGAAUUGCAGACUUUAGUGAAUCAUCGAGUCUUUGAACGCACAUUGCGCCCCCUGGCAUUCCGGGGGGCAUGCCUGUCCGAGCGUCAUUGCUGCCCUUCAAGCCCGGCUUGUGUGUUGGGUCGUCGUCCCCCCCGGGGGACGGGCCCGAAAGGCAGCGGCGGCACCGCGUCCGGUCCUCGAGCGUAUGGGGCUUUGUCACCCGCUCGAUUAGGGCCGGCCGGGCGCCAGCCGGCGUCUCCAACCUUCUAUUUUACCAGGUUGACCUCGGAUCAGGUAGGGAUACCCGCUGAACUUAAGCAUAUCAAUAAGCGGAGGA